This 88-nucleotide ribosomal RNA is filed under the name uncultured Leptospira sp. Its description in RNAcentral is "partial 16S ribosomal RNA". It matches the Rfam family "Bacterial small subunit ribosomal RNA", at positions 216 to 303 of the family's 1533-position model. The record is from RNAcentral. Lineage: Bacteria; Pseudomonadati; Spirochaetota; Leptospiria; Leptospirales; Leptospiraceae.
UGUUCGGAGAUGAGCCCGCGGCCGAUUAGCUAGUUGGUGAGGUAAUGGCUCACCAAGGCGACGAUCGGUAGCCGGCCUGAGAGGGUGU